This 467-nucleotide ribosomal RNA is filed under the name uncultured bacterium. RNAcentral's name for it is "partial 16S ribosomal RNA". It matches the Rfam family "Bacterial small subunit ribosomal RNA", at positions 28 to 506 of the family's 1533-position model. The record is from RNAcentral.
GACGAACGCUGGCGGCGUGCUUAAUACAUGCAAGUCGAACGGAAAGGCCCUGCUCUUGUGGGGUGCUCGUGUGGCGAAGGGGUGUGUAACACGCGAGUAACCCGCCCUUGUCUUUGGGAUAACUCUAGGGAACUCGGGCUAAUAUAGGAUAGGAGCUCUUGCUGCAUGGUGUGGGUUGGAAAGUUGCGGCGGUUGGGGCUGGACUCGCGGCUUCUCAGCUUGAUGGUGGGGUAGUGGCGUACCAAGGCUUUGAAGGGUAGCCGGCCUGGGAGGGCGACCGGCCCCAGUGUGACAGGGAUGCGACCCAGACUCCUACGGGAGGCAGGAGUGGAGAAUAGUGCACAAAGGGCCGAGGCCUGGUGCAGGGACUCCGCAUGCGAAAUGACUGCCUUCGGGUUGUAAACCACUUUCACCUGUGACGAAGCGUGUGUGACGGUACUGAGUAGAGAAGCACCGGCUAAUUACUU